AUUGAACGCUGGCGGCAGGCUUAACACAUGCAAGUCGAGCGGGGUGAUGGUGCUUGCACUAUCACUUAGCGGCGGACGGGUGAGUAAUGCUUAGGAAUCUGCCUAUUAGUGGGGGACAACAUCUCGAAAGGGAUGCUAAUACCGCAUACGUCCUACGGGAGAAAGCAGGGGAUCACUUGUGACCUUGCGCUAAUAGAUGAGCCUAAGUCGGGUUAGCUAGUUGGUGGGGUAAAGGCCUACCAAGGCGACGAUCUGUGGCGGGUCUGAGAGGAUGAUCCGCCACACUGGGACUGAGACACGGCCCAGACUCCUACGGGAGGCAGCAGUGGGGAAUAUUGGAAAAUGGGGGGAACCCUGAUCCAGCCAUGCCGCGUGUGUGAAGAAGGCCUUAUGGUUGUAAAGCACUUUAAGCGAGGAGGAGGCUCUUUUGGUUAAUACCCAAGAUGAGUGGACGUUACUCGCAGAAUAAGCACCGGCUAGCUCUGUGCCAGCCGCCGCUGUAA
RNAcentral lists this ribosomal RNA (503 nucleotides) under uncultured bacterium. Its description in RNAcentral is "partial 16S ribosomal RNA". It matches the Rfam family "Bacterial small subunit ribosomal RNA", at positions 30 to 523 of the family's 1533-position model. The record is from RNAcentral.